Small nuclear RNA from Ursus americanus (American black bear), 102 nucleotides. NCBI's taxonomy places the organism in Eukaryota, Metazoa, Chordata, Mammalia, Carnivora, Ursidae. The record is from Ensembl.
GUGCUCGCUUUGGUAGCACAUAUACUAAAAUUGGAAUGAUACAGAGGAGAUUAGCACGACACCGAGCAAGGAUGACACAUAAAUUCGUAAACAAAACUGGUU